Molecule: non-coding RNA, 76 nt
Filed under: unclassified sequences
Source: RNAcentral
GGGCGGAAGCACCGCCCACCGUAAUGCAGCCUACCACGGUAGCCAGUCCCAAGCCUGGGAAAAUGCAGAGGGCGGA